This is a long non-coding RNA of Lycium barbarum (goji berry), 796 nucleotides long. RefSeq lists it as uncharacterized. The transcript is spliced from 3 exons. The record is from RefSeq and is a predicted model, not a curated record. NCBI's taxonomy places the organism in Eukaryota, Viridiplantae, Streptophyta, Magnoliopsida, Solanales, Solanaceae.
CAACAUUAGGGGUAAUAAAGGCAAAAAGGUAGAGAGUAAUGCAUGUUUCAUGUUGUAUCAUAUGAGAUUAUACCUCCAGCUAAAGCAAGUAACUUUUCGUCUUUCCAUGUGAAUGUAACAGGCAUUUGGCAUGUCAUUUGAGAUUUGUUCAUUUUUAGCAUAUAGCCCCUAUGUUCAUGAGUUUGUGAUGUACCUAUAUUCAAUCCUAAUUAUUACUAGCUAACUGUGUGGACUUUCUAGAGGAUGUAUGUGUCUAUUAUUUGCAGACCCAUGUCAAUUUAAUUUUAGGUGCUUGUGCUUUGGUUAAAUUUUAAUUUCUCUCUGUUUGCAUGUCGUUCUUCUCUCUACUUUCUGGUUAGUUCUAUUUUUCUGUUCCAUUUCUGCUUCUUUUUCGUUUCCACUAUUCUGAAGUUGUUUCCAUAUAUUCACAAAUUUCAUCAAUUUCCUCUCUUUUUUCCAUUUGAGUUACUCUCUCCUCUUUGGCCCUUUCAUAGUCACUUCAAUUUCUACUUUUGUGAUUUGCUUUCAUCAAUUUCAGAUGGUCAUGCUUCUAUUGACGUCCUGCUGCUGUUAAUUCUUUUAUAGGGAGUUGGAAGGUUUCACACAUUUCUUAAGAUUAAAGGAAUUCUGGGUUGUUUAUGGGCGGACAGUGAAUAAAUUUUGAAGUGAAGUUUGGUUAAGCAUUGAAGCCAUGGAAGCUGAGAAGAUCUAUUACAGAGGUUUCUGCCACUGAACUUGCUUAUUCACUGGAAAGAACUGUAUUAUGAGUUGGAGCUGGAAGGGUAUGAGCUUAAUA